This 832-nucleotide long non-coding RNA is filed under the name Selaginella moellendorffii. RNAcentral's name for it is "long non-coding RNA (SMOE_LNC001367)". Lineage: Eukaryota; Viridiplantae; Streptophyta; Lycopodiopsida; Selaginellales; Selaginellaceae. The record is from RNAcentral.
ACAGCACCACAGGCCCCCGGAUCCAGCAGUUCCUCAACGAAGUCACCAUCCUCUCGCAGGUAAACCACCGCAACCUCGUCAAGCUCCUCGGCUGCUGCCUGGAAACCGAAGUCCCACUCUUAGUCUUCGAGUUCGUCCCGAAUGGAACUCUCUUCGAGCACUUACAGCACAGGAGAUCUUCGAUCCUCAGUUGGGAGAGACGCUUGCAAAUCGCCAUCGAGACCGCCGAGGCCAUCUCCUAUCUCCAUUCCUCCGCGGCACAGCCGAUCUACCACCGCGACGUCAAGUCCACCAACAUCCUCCUGGACGAGAAGUUCACUGCCAAGGUAGCGGACUUCGGGAUAUCGAAGUUAGUGAGCCUGGAAGCCACGCACGUCUCCACCACCGUGCAUGGAACUCCAGGCUACAUCGAUCCACAGUACCAGCAAAACUAUCAGCUUACCGACAAGAGCGACGUCUACAGCUUUGGAGUGGUGUUGCUGGAGCUCAUCACGGGGCAAAAGCCUGUGGAUUUCUCGCGGAACUCCUCGGACAAGAAUCUCACCGCAUUCUCGCUCGCUUACAUCCAGAGCAGCCGGAUCGAGGAUAUUAUCGACAAGGGCCUGGAGCUGGGAGACGAGAGAGCCAAGAUUUCGAGCAUACAAGAGGUAGCAAACCUAGCGAUCCGAUGCCUCGAGUUUAAUCGGGAGAACAGGCCGGCGAUGAGGAGUGUGGCCGAGGAGCUGAUGAAGAUCUCCGCCGCGUCGUGAUUGCCGCGAUCAAUCGCUCUGCCCAUUUGAAAUGCCAAACAAAGAUCAAACUUUUUUAGGGCUCUUCAACACCUAGUUGCAAG